RNAcentral lists this ribosomal RNA (440 nucleotides) under uncultured bacterium. Its description in RNAcentral is "partial 16S ribosomal RNA". It matches the Rfam family "Bacterial small subunit ribosomal RNA", at positions 338 to 795 of the family's 1533-position model. The record is from RNAcentral.
CCUACGGGCGGCAGCAGUAGGGAAUAUUGCUCAAUGGGGGAAACCCUGAAGCAGCAACGCCGCGUGGAGGAUGAAGGUUUUCGGAUUGUAAACUCCUUUUGUUAGAGAAGAUAAUGACGGUAUCUAACGAAUAAGCACCGGCUAACUCAGUGCCAGCAGCCGCGGUAAUACGGAGGGUGCAAGCGUUACUCGGAAUCACUGGGCGUAAAGGGCGCGUAGGCGGGAUAGCAAGUCAGAUGUGAAAUCCUAUGGCUUAACCAUAGAACUGCAUUUGAAACUGUUAUUCUAGAGUAUGGGAGAGGUAGGUGGAAUUCUUGGUGUAGGGGUAAAAUCCGUAGAGAUCAAGAAGAAUACUCAUUGCGAAGGCGACCUGCUAGAACAUAACUGACGCUGAUGCGCGAAAGCGUGGGGAGCAAACAGGAUUAGAUACCCUAGUAGUC